Molecule: ribosomal RNA, 503 nt
Filed under: uncultured bacterium
Lineage: Bacteria
Description: partial 16S ribosomal RNA
Rfam family: Bacterial small subunit ribosomal RNA
Source: RNAcentral
GACGAACGCUGGCGGCGUGCUUAACACAUGCAAGUCGAACGGUGAAGCGCUUUCCUUUUUGGUUGGUGUGGAUGAGUGGCGAACGGGUGAGUAACACGUGAGUAACCUGCCCCCUUCUUCUGGAUAACCGCAUGAAAGUGUGGCUAAUACGGGAUAUUCUGCGCCUGCUGCAUGGUGGGUGUGGGAAAGAUUGUGCCUUUGGGUGUUUUCGGUGGGGGAUGGGCUCGCGGCCUAUCAGCUUGUUGGUGGGGUGAUGGCCUACCAAGGCGGUGACGGGUAGCCGGGCUGAGAGGGUGGACGGUCACACUGGGACUGAGACACGGCCCAGACUCCUACGGGAGGCAGCAGUGGGGAAUAUUGCACAAUGGGCGCAAGCCUGAUGCAGCGACGCCGCGUGAGGGAGGGAGGCCUUCGGGUUGUGAACCUCUUUCGCCAGUGAAGCAGGCCUGCUCCUUGUGGGUGGGUUGACGGUAGCUGGAUAAGAAGCGCCGGCUAACUACGUG